RNAcentral lists this unclassified non-coding RNA (336 nucleotides) under soil metagenome. RNAcentral's name for it is "partial contains 5.8S ribosomal RNA, internal transcribed spacer 2, and large subunit ribosomal RNA". The stretch from base 1 to 119 matches the Rfam family "5.8S ribosomal RNA", at positions 35 to 154 of the family's 154-position model. The record is from RNAcentral.
GAUGAAGAACGCAGCGAAAUGCGAUAAGUAAUGCGAAUUGCAGAAUCCGUGAGUCAUCGAAUCUUUGAACGCACAUUGCGCCCGCCAGUAUUCUGGCGGGCAUGCCUGUUCGAGCGUCAUUUCAACCAUCAAGCCCCCGGGCUUGUGUUGGGGUCCUGCGGCUGCCGCAGGCCCUGAAAAGCAGUGGCGGGCUCGCUGUCACACCGAGCGUAGUAGAUUUUAUCUCGCUCAGGGCGUGCUGCGGGUUCCGGCCGUUAAACCACCUUCAUAACCCAAGGUUGACCUCGGAUCAGGUAGGAAGACCCGCUGAACUUAAGCAUAUCAAUAAGCGGAGGA